Long non-coding RNA from Sinocyclocheilus rhinocerous, 283 nucleotides. RefSeq lists it as uncharacterized. The record is from RefSeq and is a predicted model, not a curated record. The transcript has 3 exons. NCBI's taxonomy places the organism in Eukaryota, Metazoa, Chordata, Actinopteri, Cypriniformes, Cyprinidae.
AGCCUGGAGUCGAUCCUUCAGUGGUCAAGCAGCAGCAAGAGUCUGUGGAGGGCUUUAGAGAAGAGAUCGACGGGCUGCAGGAAGAACUGAAUGUGGUCCAGAAUCUGGGGGCGGAGCUUAUGACAGCGUGCGGAGAACCUGAUAAACCAGUGAUCAAGAAAAGUAUAGAUGAGGUGAACUCAGCUUGGGAAAUCCUGAAUAAGGCAUGGAAAGAGAGAGUAGAGACUCUAGAGGAAGCCAUGCAAGCUGCAGUGCAGUUCCAGGACAGUCUCCAGGUAAAUAU